UAGGGAAUCUUCGGCAAUGGACGGAAGUCUGACCGAGCAACGCCGCGUGAGUGAAGAAGGUUUUCGGAUCGUAAAGCUCUGUUGUUAGAGAAGAACGUUGGUAGGAGCGGAAAAUCUACCAAGUGACGGUAACUAACCAGACAGGGACGGCUAACUACGUGCCAGCAGCCGCGGUAAUACGUAGGUCCCGAGCGUUGUCCGGAUGUAUUGGGCGUAAAGCGAGCGCAGGCGGUUCUUUAAGUCUGAAGUUAAAGGCAGUGGCUUAACCAUUGUACGCUUUGGAAACUGGAGGACUGGAGUGCAGGAGGGGAGAGUGGAAUUCCAAGUGUAGCGGUGAAAUGCGUAGAUAUAUGGAGGAACACAGGUGGCGAAAGCGGCUCUCUGGUCAGUAACUGACGCAAAGGCUCGAAAGCGUGGGGAGCAAACAGG
Molecule: ribosomal RNA, 429 nt
Filed under: Bacillota bacterium
Lineage: Bacteria; Bacillati; Bacillota
Description: Firmicutes bacterium partial 16S ribosomal RNA
Rfam family: Bacterial small subunit ribosomal RNA
Source: RNAcentral